Molecule: ribosomal RNA, 464 nt
Filed under: uncultured bacterium
Lineage: Bacteria
Description: partial 16S ribosomal RNA
Rfam family: Bacterial small subunit ribosomal RNA
Source: RNAcentral
GACGAACGCUGGCGGCGUGCUUAACACAUGCAAGUCGAACGGUAAGGCCCCAGCUUGCUGGGGUACACGAGUGGCGAACGGGUGAGUAACACGUGGGUGACCUGCCCCGCACUUCGGGAUAAGCCUGGGAAACUGGGUCUAAUACCGGAUAGGACCGCACCGUGAGGGUGUGGUGGAAAGUUUUUCGGUGUGGGAUGGGCCCGCGGCCUAUCAGCUUGUUGGUGGGGUAAUGGCCUACCAAGGCGGCGACGGGUAGCCGGCCUGAGAGGGGGGACGGCCACAUUGGGACUGAGAGACGGCCCAGACGCCUACGGGAGGCAGCAGUGGGGAAUAUUGCACAAUGGGCGGAAGCCUGAUGCAGCGACGCCGCGUGGGGGAUGACGGCCUUCGGGUUGUAAACUCCUUUCACCAUCGACGAAGGUUUUCUGACGGUAGAUGGAGAAGAAGCACCGGCUAACUACGUG